AUGCAGAGCCUCCUCGUCCCCACCGCCGCGGCCUGCGCGGCGCCGCCGUCGGCGUCCACGCGGCGGCCCCGGCCGGCCCGCGUCUCCGUCCGCGCCUCGGCGGCCCCGCCCCGGCGCGAGACGGAUCCGAAGAAGCGGGUGGUGAUCACGGGGAUGGGCCUGGUCUCCGUCUUCGGCAACGACGUCGACGCCUACUACGACCGCCUGCUCGCCGGGGAGAGCGGCGUGGGCCCCAUCGACCGCUUCGACGCCUCCAAGUUCCCCACGCGCUUCGCCGGCCAGAUCCGGGGCUUCUCCUCCGAGGGCUACAUCGACGGCAAGAACGACCGCAGGCUGGACGACUGCCUCCGCUACUGCAUCGUCAGCGGCAAGAAGGCGCUCGAGUCCGCCGGCCUCGCGCUCGGCUCCGACGCCAUGGCCAAGAUUGACAAGGCCCGUGCUGGUGUACUUGUGGGGACUGGUAUGGGUGGCCUCCAAGUGUUUUCUGAUGGUGUUCAGAAUCUUCUCGAGAAGGGCUACAGAAAGAUAACUCCUUUCUUCAUCCCAUAUGCCAUAACAAACAUGGGAUCUGCCCUGCUUGGCAUGGACAUUGGCUUCAUGGGUCCAAACUACUCUAUUUCAACUGCAUGUGCUACCUCGAACUACUGUUUCUACGCUGCAGCAAACCAUAUUCGCAAAGGCGAAGCCGAUGUGAUGAUUGCUGGUGGCACUGAAGCCGCCAUUAUUCCGAUUGGUGUUGGUGGGUUUGUUGCAUGUAGAGCACUAUCACAGAGGAAUGAUGACCCUAAAACAGCAUCUAGGCCUUGGGACAAGGAGCGUGAUGGUUUCGUCAUGGGUGAAGGAGCUGGAGUACUGGUCAUGGAGAGCUUAGAACAUGCAAUGAAACGUGGUGCUCCAAUAGUUGCGGAGUAUCUAGGGGGUGCUGUGAACUGUGAUGCUUACCACAUGACUGAUCCGAGAGCCGAUGGUCUCGGUGUUUCAUCUUGCAUCAGACAAAGUCUUCAAGAUGCUGGUGUGGCACCAGAGGAGGUUAACUACAUCAAUGCUCAUGCAACAUCCACCCUUGCUGGUGAUUUGGCAGAGAUGAAUGCCAUCAAGCAAGUCUUUAAGGACCCAUCUGGGAUAAAAGUAAACGCAACCAAGUCCAUGAUAGGGCAUUGCCUAGGUGCAGCAGGUGGUUUGGAAGCCAUUGCUACUAUUAAAGCGAUAAACACUGGCUUGGUGCAUCCGAGCAUAAACCAGUUUGAGCGGGAGCCUGCGGUUGAAUUCGACACGGUACCCAACGUAAAGGUCGAACAUGAAAUCAAUGUUGGUAUCUCAAAUUCCUUUGGAUUUGGAGGACACAACUCGGUGGUCGUAUUCGCCCCAUUCAAGCCUUAA
RNAcentral lists this ribosomal RNA (1380 nucleotides) under Triticum aestivum (bread wheat). Its description in RNAcentral is "partial small subunit ribosomal RNA". The record is from RNAcentral. Lineage: Eukaryota; Viridiplantae; Streptophyta; Magnoliopsida; Poales; Poaceae.